Molecule: ribosomal RNA, 429 nt
Filed under: Pseudomonadota bacterium
Lineage: Bacteria; Pseudomonadati; Pseudomonadota
Description: Proteobacteria bacterium partial 16S ribosomal RNA
Rfam family: Bacterial small subunit ribosomal RNA
Source: RNAcentral
UGGGGAAUAUUGGACAAUGGGCGAAAGCCUGAUCCAGCCAUGCCGCGUGUGUGAAGAAGGUCUUCGGAUUGUAAAGCACUUUAAGUUGGGAGGAAGGGCAGUAAGCGAAUACCUUGCUGUUUUGACGUUACCGACAGAAUAAGCACCGGCUAACUCUGUGCCAGCAGCCGCGGUAAUACAGAGGGUGCAAGCGUUAAUCGGAAUUACUGGGCGUAAAGCGCGCGUAGGUGGUUCGUUAAGUUGAAUGUGAAAGCCCCGGGCUCAACCUGGGAACUGCAUCCAAAACUGGCGAGCUAGAGUAGGGCAGAGGGUGGUGGAAUUUCCUGUGUAGCGGUGAAAUGCGUAGAUAUGGGAAGGAACACCAGUGGCGAAGGCGACCACCUGGGCUCAUACUGACACUGAGGUGCGAAAGCGUGGGGAGCAAACAGG